GCCCAUUCUCUAAAUAUUUUGCAGCUGCCAGCAGUAAAAAUGCAAAAAAAAAAAAUAAAAUUAGAAAUACAGUAGAGAAUAGAGAAGCAAAGAAUCAAAAAGGCAGCAGCAAACCCUCUGUGCAGCAGCCUGGUUUUUCUUCCGGAUUGGAGGUCAAACGGAGUCCGUUCGUCCUCAAAUUUUAGUAUGUUGUUCGUGAGACUCUUCUCUACAAGUACACGAAACAGUUUUUCAUUUUGAGGCCCGGAAGGUCGG
Molecule: long non-coding RNA, 255 nt
Filed under: Nicotiana benthamiana
Lineage: Eukaryota; Viridiplantae; Streptophyta; Magnoliopsida; Solanales; Solanaceae
Description: long non-coding RNA (NBEN_LNC001552)
Source: RNAcentral